UGAGGAAUAUUGGUCAAUGGCCGGGAGGGCUGAACCAGCCAAGUCGCGUGAGGGAAGACGGUCCUAUGGAUUGUAAACCUCUUUUGUCAGGGAGCAAAAACUGCCACGCGUGGCAGGAUGAGAGUACCUGAAGAAAAAAGCAUCGGCUAACUCCGUGCC
RNAcentral lists this ribosomal RNA (159 nucleotides) under uncultured bacterium. RNAcentral's name for it is "partial 16S ribosomal RNA". It matches the Rfam family "Bacterial small subunit ribosomal RNA", at positions 355 to 509 of the family's 1533-position model. The record is from RNAcentral.